GUGAGGAAUAUUGGUCAAUGGGCGGAAGCCUGAACCAGCCAUGCCGCGUGAAGGAAUAAGGCCCUAUGGGUCGUAAACUUCUUUUGACGGGGAGCAAUAAGGGUCACGAGUGGCCCGAUGAGAGUACUCGUCGAAUAAGCAUCGGCUAACUCCGUGCCAGCAGCCGCGGUAAUACGGAGGAUGCAAGCGUUAUCCGGAUUUAUUGGGUUUAAAGGGUGCGUAGGCGGACGUGUAAGUCAGGGGUGAAAUACCGGGGCUCAACCUCGGAACUGCCUUUGAUACUGCAUGUCUGGAGUUCGGAUGCCGUGGGAGGAAUGGGCAGUGUAGCGGUGAAAUGCAUAGAUAUUGCCCAGAACACCGAUUGCGAAGGCAUCUCACGAAUCCGACACUGACGCUGAGGCACGAAAGCGUGGGGAUCAAACAGG
Molecule: ribosomal RNA, 425 nt
Filed under: uncultured rumen bacterium
Lineage: Bacteria
Description: bacterial SSU rRNA
Rfam family: Bacterial small subunit ribosomal RNA
Source: RNAcentral